Mesocricetus auratus (golden hamster) is the source of this 377-nucleotide long non-coding RNA. RefSeq lists it as uncharacterized. The record is from RefSeq and is a predicted model, not a curated record. Lineage: Eukaryota; Metazoa; Chordata; Mammalia; Rodentia; Cricetidae. The transcript has 4 exons.
AGGGCGACGUGAAGGAGGCGAUGUAUGAUUUCUCCUGCCACAUUCUAAAAAUGUCCCCAAAGCGGGGCAGCUCUCAACACUCGGCUAGAGAACACAGGAUCCGAGGGGCUGCAGGAGCAAUGAAAGCCCACUCCCUGGAUGUGGUUAGCAAGAAGUAGAACGCAGGAACCAGAAAGCAAGAUUCCAAUUGCCUUUGUGGACCAGCAAAACCUAAUGCAGCAUGCCCACCAGAUGGAACCUUUGGAGCAGAGGAGAGCUGUGAUUUCAAAAGAGCAAGAGACUGGCCAGGAAAUGGCCUUGGGGGCUUUGAGGAUAUGGACCAUGAAUUUAGGGCAAUUUGGGACAUUUUCAUUAAAGGAGAAUGGCUUACACUUUAA